CAGCCACAGCCCCAUAGCUUUCAGAGCCAGGCCCAGAACCAGCUGCAGCCCCGCAGCUUUCAAGGCCAGGCUUAUCCCCAGGCGCAGCCACAGCCUCGCAGCUUUCAGGGCCAUCUCCAGGUACAGACGCAGCCACAGCCUCGCAGCUUCCAGGGCCAUCUCCAGGUACAGACGCAGCCACAGCCUCGCAGCUUUCACGGCCAUCCCCAGGUCCGUCCCCAGACCCAGCUUCGUAGCCAUGAAGUCCAUCCUGAGACCCAGCUGCUGACCCAGCCACAGCCUCGCAGCAAUCAGGGCCAUCCCCAUGCCCAGCUGAAGUCCCAAAUGCAGCCCAGCAGCUUUCAGGGCCAUGCCCAUCCUCGGGCCCAAAUCCAGACCCAGCUGCGGCCUCGCAGCUUUCAGGGCCAGGGCCAUCCCAAGGCCCAGACCCAGCUGCAGUCUCUCAGCUCUCAGCCUGAAGGCUAUCAGGCUGACUCACUGCCACAACCUCAUAGUUCUCCGGCUCAGCCCCAAGACCAGCUGCAUGCUAGCAGUUCUCAGUCGCGGGGCCACCUAAAGCCUCGCAGUCAUCAUGCUCAGGCCAAGACACAGCCUCAUAGUUAUCCAGCAUAUCCACAUGCCCAUUCUUACUAUCAGACUCAAAUCCCAAUACAGGCACGCAGCUAUCAAAUGCGUCCUCGGAUGAUGCGUUACCAGCACAGACCUCAUCUUCAGCCUUGGGUCAGGACAACUGGCACAAACCACCAGAUUCUGCAAGGGGCUUAACCGAAGAGGGCCAACAUCAGAAGAUGGAUCAUUAACUGCAUGGAUACAAUUAAACUGAUCUUUAGGGGAAAUGUAAAUAAAUCUUUCUAGAUGAGUCUGUGUGUGGGCUAGCUUAUUUAUACUUUAUAGUAAUAUCUCACGGUUGUGAGAGCAGGUGGUGCAUGUUUCAAAUUUUUAGCUCAAACUGAAGCCAUUCAUGUGCAGCACUACGGCAGGCAAAGAAGAUCUGCUCUGAAAGCACAGGUGAUGCGUAAUGACCUGCUCUUCAUUUUGCUGGUGACCCAGUUCAACUGGAACUUUUUUUCUUUCUUUUCUUUUUUAAAGGGUGGGGGGACCCAGGCAAAGAACCCUACUGUACAGAACUUAAACAAAAUAGAGACUUUAACAUUGGUUCUGCAUAUAGAGCCAAAGUUUACAUUUUUUUUUUUUUCAGCAUGUAACUGAAAACGUAUGAAAUCUUGAAUACUUUUUUGCACCUUUUAUUUCCAGAUUGCUUUUAACUUAAAAGAGAAAAUCCAACUGAUUCAGAGCAGUAUUCAGUCUGGUUACUAGAUAAAGUCAGAUUUUUGAUGUGCACCAGAGACAAAUGAGUCUCAGGUGCACAUCUAAAUUCACUGGGUAACUGCAAGAAGAGAGAAAACAGGCCUUCAUGGAAAACUGCUGCAUGCAGUGCACUCGCAAUGCUUAACUCCCAUGUUCCUUUUCAACAACCAGCAAAGCGACCAAAUUCAUCUCUUUAUCAGUUAAGUAUCCUCCAGGAGGUAUGGAUAGAACAUAGGUGGUAGAAAUAAGAUUGUUCAUUAUAAGCUUUGAAAAUGUGCAUGUCUCUGAUAAUUCCCUUGACUGAUGAAAUGCUGUUUGUCCAAAUUGUGGUUUUGGUGGAUCUUGUUAAAUUGCUUUGAGAUGUGGAGACUGCAGGCCUGUGACUAAUUCCAUUUUGUUUGGCAAUCCCUCCAAGUCCUUAGCAGAGGCAUUCCAUGUUUUUGAACUUCACAGCACAUUUAAUCUAUCAACUGUUUCCUAUCCAGCAUACAGUGUUCCUACACGUCCAUGCUUAUGUUCUGCCAUUAGGUGGCACCAUCUGACAUGAAACUUGAGACUGUCAUGGACAUGUUGGGACUAAAAGACAAAUACUGCUGGGACUAGAACAUUUUAGUUUAGUUUUUUUUUUUUUUAAACUAUAAAACCAGUUUCCCUUAAAUGGCAAAUGUCAGGAUAGAUUCUUUAAGGAACUGCUUUCUAGAAAGUUGCUUUUAACUGAAAUGACUUUACGCUGUCUCAGAAGUAUAACUUGUGCUAUAAUGAUAUAUUAGAAUGAGUUAAAAUUCUUCUAUAUCUCCUGUUUAAAAUGACAGUCACAUUUUAAGGUUUUAAAGUAACAACAAAGUAACACGUAAUGACAGCUGCAGCUUAAAAGUUAUAUAAUUUCCGGUCACACUAAUGCUCAGACGUGUGUGUGUGUGUGUGUGUGUAUGUAUGUAUGUAUGUAUGUAAAUUAAAAGGUUAAAAAAAU
Astatotilapia calliptera (eastern happy) is the source of this 2278-nucleotide long non-coding RNA. NCBI's taxonomy places the organism in Eukaryota, Metazoa, Chordata, Actinopteri, Cichliformes, Cichlidae. The record is from Ensembl.